Molecule: ribosomal RNA, 415 nt
Filed under: uncultured bacterium
Lineage: Bacteria
Description: bacterial SSU rRNA
Rfam family: Bacterial small subunit ribosomal RNA
Source: RNAcentral
UGAGGAAUAUUGCGCAAUGGGCGAAAGCCUGACGCAGCGACGCCGCGUGGGGGAUGAAGGUUUUCGGAUUGUAAACCCCUUUCAUGAGGAAAAAUAAAGUGGGUAACCACUUAGACGGUACCUCAAGCAGAAACCACGGCUAACUUCGUGCCAGCAGCCGCGGUAAUACGAAGGUGGCAAGCGUUGUUCGGCUUUACUGGGCGUAAAGAGCACGUAGGCGGUUGGGAAAGCCUCUUGGGAAAUCUCCCGGCUUAACCGGGAAAGGUCGAGAGGAACUAUUCAGCUAGAGGACGGGAGAGGAGCGCGGAAUUCCCGGUGUAGCGGUGAAAUGCGUAGAUAUCGGGAAGAAGGCCGGUGGCGAAGGCGGCGCUCUGGAACGUACCUGACGCUGAGGUGCGAAAGCGUGGGGAGCAAA